ACAAAAACAAAGAACAGACUAGUAGCUGUUUAGCCGUCUGCUUAGCGAGUCGCGGUUGAUGGGAAGCGACCAGAAGGCAACAGUGAAUCACAUCUGCGAGUUGGGCGAUCGAAUUUAGUAAGUCGCUCCGGGGAAGCCCGUUACAGCACAGAGUUUAAAUUUGAACUCGCUGAGGCAGUUUAGCGUGAGCUGACUGCAAUGAUGAGGUGGAACCGCGGCAACGCCCUCUGA
This is a regulatory RNA element of 231 nucleotides. It matches the Rfam family "T-box leader". Rfam says of the family: Uncharged tRNA acts as the effector for transcription antitermination of genes in the T-box leader family. The record is from Rfam.